This 517-nucleotide long non-coding RNA is filed under the name Patiria miniata (bat star). RNAcentral's name for it is "uncharacterized LOC119721076". Lineage: Eukaryota; Metazoa; Echinodermata; Asteroidea; Valvatida; Asterinidae. The record is from RNAcentral.
AUCGAUCACUACCUUGCUGGUGCUUCACAGGGAUGGAACAGACUCAAAGUCCUUCAAUGUUGUUAACUUGUUGAAUGCCUUGUACACGCUGUUCAACGCCAUCAUUUCCAACUAUGACAUCUAAAAGGUUGAAAGCAUCGACGAUGCCUACAUGUUGGUCUCCUGCCUACUGAUCCGUAAUGGCAGCCGUCAUGCUGGUAUGAUCGUCUCCGCUGCAUGGCAUCUCCUGGAGGGCGUUGAUAGUUGAUCAUGCCACACAAACAAGAUGAGAAACUCAAACUCCGCAUCGGUAUUCACUCAGGGCAAAGGUGAAAGUCUGACGUACUGGCUCGAGGGACAUGAUCCAUGCUACAAGAUCGACCGAAUCAAGCCACCCAAACAAAACUUGUAAACAACCAGAAUAUUAUCCCAACAUUAUCUGCAACGCAUUUGGAUCAACAAUUUUUUGUAAAGAGGUGAUGGCAGAUCUACCAGCUCACUUCACAUCAGAGAGCUCUCUUGAGAAGCACUAUAGAAG